Molecule: small nuclear RNA, 179 nt
Gene: U2
Rfam family: U2 spliceosomal RNA
About the family: U2 is a small nuclear RNA (snRNA) component of the spliceosome (involved in pre-mRNA splicing).
Source: Ensembl
AUCGCUUCUCGGCCUUUUGACUAAGAUCAAGUGUAGUAUCUGUUCUUAUCAGUUUAAUUUUGGGGAAUUUGUGGCCUAGUGGUUAGAGAGUUUGAUUCCUAACCCUAAGGUUGUGGGUUUGGGUCUUGGGCUGGCAAUACAACAACUGAGGUGCCCUUGCGCACGGCACCGAACCCCCA